Molecule: ribosomal RNA, 253 nt
Filed under: uncultured bacterium
Lineage: Bacteria
Description: partial 16S ribosomal RNA
Rfam family: Bacterial small subunit ribosomal RNA
Source: RNAcentral
UACGGAGGGUGCAAGCGUUAUCCGGAUUCACUGGGUUUAAAGGGUGUGUAGGCGGAUUUUUAAGUCAGUGGUGAAAUCUCCGGGCUCAACCCGGUAACUGCCAUUGAUACUAUUAGUCUUGAAUUCUGUUGAGGUGGGCGGAAUACAUCAUGUAGCGGUGAAAUGCUUAGAUAUGAUGUAGAACACCGAUUGCGAAGGCAGCUCACUAAGCAGACACUGACGCUGAGGCACGAAAGCGUGGGGAUCAAACAGG